UUCGCAAUCAAAGAAAAAACUGAUUACCGAAUAAAUAUCGUUUCCGACCGAAACCGGGUGUUACACGCCGCCGCCGCCGCCGCCGCCGCCGACGGCGAUAGAUUUGGGGAUGGAUUUGGGCUCGUGCUACCUCGGUGGGAACGCCGACGCGGUGGAGUUCUGCCCGCACCGCCCGUUCCGCCACGUGCUGGCCGCCGCCACCUACACGCUGCAGGAGCAGGAGCGCGACCGGGCGGGCAGCAUAUCCCUCUUCUCAGUUGACGUUGCCUCGGAGGACGCGUCCCGGAGGCUCCAGCUGCUGUAUACUGUGGAGACCGCCGGCAUCUUCGAUAUGAAGUGGAGCCCCAAGUCGCCGCUGCUCGCGCAGGCCGACGCCCACGGCCGCCUCGCGCUCCGGCGCUUGGAGCAGGAGGACGGCUCGGACACAGGCAUUCUCCUCACCGAUGUCUCUGCUGAAGAUAUUUCUUCUUCAAUGUGCUUAUAUGUGGACUGGAACCAAACUGCGGAGUCUCUGUCUGUUGGAUUAUCAGAUGGCUCACUGUCUCUGGUUUCAGUGAGAGAGGACCGGCUGGAGAUAUCAGAACAGUGGACUGCACAUCAGUUCGAAGUCUGGACAUGCUAUUUUGAUCGUACAAGGCCACACUUGCUGUACAGUGGAUCAGAUGACUGUUGUUUCAGUUGCUGGGACUUGAGAGAAAGCCCAUCAAACAUUGUUUUUCAAAACAAAAAAUCUCAUAAGAUGGGUGUCUGUUGUAUUACACAGAAUCCGUUGGAGGGGAACAUGCUACUUACUGGGAGUUAUGAUGAAUUUCUCAGAGUUUGGGACAUGAGAUUUAUGGCAAAACCUGUCAAUCAAAAGUUGAUAAAUCUAGGAGGUGGUGUGUGGAGGAUGAAGUAUCAUCCUAGUAUUGCAGAUGUUGUAUUGGCUGCGUGCAUGCACAAUGGGUUUGCCAUUGUAAAAGUAGGUUCUGGAGAUGCUACGGUAAUGGAAACAUAUUGCAAGCAUGAGUCCUUAGCAUACGGUGCAGAUUGGCAGAAAAGUGAAGAGGUGGAGCAAAAUGGAAAUUCUUCAGUUGUUGCUACUUGUUCGUUUUAUGAUCGCCUCCUCCGCGUGUGGCAACCAGAGAAUCUAGCUGAGCUUUAAAGACCUAAAGCUUUUUUUGAAUUGAAUUCAAGCAUGACUAGGCCAUGAAUCUAUUUCCUGAAUGAACCAGUAUAAUUUCAUUCAGCUGCUCUAGUCAAAUAACUGGAAGACCUUGUCGUAAAAAAAGCUGGAAAGCCUCUAGUUCUGCUAAUGCUCCGUUUAAAUGGUGAUAUUGGAGGACAUUAAAUUGAAUUGGGUUCGCCAUGGUAUUGAAAUGAGAUGUAAUUUUAAUUAUAUUGCUUGAAUAUCACUGAAUUGGAGUUUAUAAUUGUGUGGUCCAAUUCCACUCAAUACACAGGAGUGAUGCUCUGUAGUAUUGGGAGAUGGAGUUUCUAGUUAUAGUCAAAUUUCGGGGAAUUUGGUCUUUGAUUUUAAAUCUCAAUUUCAUGUGCAACCAAACAAUAGAAAUUUGGAAAGCUAAUUUCAGUUCUUAAUU
This is an RNA transcript of Zea mays, 1580 nucleotides long. RefSeq lists it as uncharacterized. NCBI's taxonomy places the organism in Eukaryota, Viridiplantae, Streptophyta, Magnoliopsida, Poales, Poaceae. The transcript is spliced from 3 exons. The record is from RefSeq and is marked validated.